RNAcentral lists this ribosomal RNA (356 nucleotides) under uncultured bacterium. Its description in RNAcentral is "bacterial SSU rRNA". It matches the Rfam family "Bacterial small subunit ribosomal RNA", at positions 1 to 334 of the family's 1533-position model. The record is from RNAcentral.
GUACGCUAUUCAGAGUUUGAUCCUGGCUCAGGAUGAACGCUGCGGCGUGCUUAACACAUGCAAGUCGAACGAAGCACUUUACUUGAUUUCUUCGGAAUGAUUGUUCUGUGACUGAGUGGCGGACGGGUGAGUAACGCGUGGGUAACCUGCCUCAUACAGGGGGAUAACAGUUAGAAAUGACUGCUAAUACCGCAUAAGCGCACGGUAUCGACAUGAUACAGUGUGAAAAAACUCCGGUGGUAUGAGAUGGACCCGCGUCUGAUUAGCUAGUUGGUGAGGUAACGGCCCACCAAGGCGACGAUCAGUAGCCGACCUGAGAGGGUGACCGGCCACAUUGGGACUGAGACACGGCCCAA